RNAcentral lists this ribosomal RNA (327 nucleotides) under Leipothrix sp. 1 XFX-2017. RNAcentral describes it as "partial small subunit ribosomal RNA". Lineage: Eukaryota; Metazoa; Arthropoda; Arachnida; Trombidiformes; Eriophyidae. The record is from RNAcentral.
AAGAAUGACGGGCGAUAUGUACGAGCUAUUGCUUAUUCUAAGUGUGAUGCUCUCUACACUUAUACUUCUAAGUUCUUUUUUCAUUUUUGCUCUGACAAUUUCCAUUUUUCUAAAGGUACCCCAUUCUUUCUUUUAUGUCUGUCUUGAUUUGUUUUAAAAAUCGUUUAUUUUAUUAAGUUUUUAUUUAACUUAACAACAAUGAUAUGAAGAAUUUAUUAGAGUAAAUUUUAUCGUGGGUAAUCGAUCAUAAUACAGGAUUCCCUAGCUAGGUAAGCUACCGCCAACGCAAUUAGAUUUUGUUUAUUUAACUACUAUCUUUAAUUUUAU